CAAGUCGAACGGCAGCACGGGUGCUUGCACCUGGUGGCGAGUGGCGAACGGGUGAGUAAUACAUCGGAACGUACCUUAUCGUGGGGGAUAACGCAGCGAAAGCUGUGCUAAUACCGCAUACGCCCUGAGGGGGAAAGCGGGGGAUCGAAAGACCUCGCGCGAUUAGAGCGGCCGAUGCCUGAUUAGCUUGUUGGUGGGGUAAAAGCCCACCAAGGCGACGAUCAGUAGCUGGUCUGAGAGGACGAUCAGCCACACUGGGACUGAGACACGGCCCAGACCCCUACGGGAGGCAGCAGUGGGGAAUUUUGGACAAUGGGGGAAACCCUGAUCCAGCAAUGCCGCGUGAGUGAAGAAGGCCUUCGGGUUGUAAAGCUCUUUUGUCAGGGAAGAAACACCGGCUCUAACACAGUCCGGGAAUGACGGUACCUGAAGAAUAAGCACCGGCUAACUACGUGCCAGCAGCCGCGGUAAUACGUAGGGUGCGAGCGUUAAUCGGAAUUACUGGGCGUAAAGCGUGCGCAGGCGGUUAUACAAGACAGGCGUGAAAUCCCCGGGCUUAACCUGGGAAUGGCGCCUGUGACUGUAUAGCUAGAGUGUGUCAGAGGGGGGUAGAAUUCCACGUGUAGCAGUGAAAUGCGUAGAUAUGUGGAGGAAUACCAAUGGCGAAGGCAGCCCCCUGGGAUAACACUGACGCUCAUGCACGAAAGCGUGGGGAGCAAACAGGAUUAGAUACCCUGGUAGUCCACGCCCUAAACGAUGCUGACUAGUUGUUCGGGAUUUACAUCCUGAGUAACGUAGCUAACGCGUGAAGUCAGCCGCCUGGGGAGUACGGUCGCAAGAUUAAAACUCAAAGGAAUUGACGG
This 863-nucleotide ribosomal RNA is filed under the name uncultured bacterium. Its description in RNAcentral is "bacterial SSU rRNA". It matches the Rfam family "Bacterial small subunit ribosomal RNA", at positions 58 to 916 of the family's 1533-position model. The record is from RNAcentral.